CGGGUGCAUCCAGAGGGGUUAAGCGAGCGCCACCGCAACAUGAACCGAUUUAGCCAGUCAAAGCUACGAUUCUAUGCGUGAGGGAACGUAUGGUAAGAGGGGAAGGAGAUCUUUCACUCACACCAUCUUCUCUUUUUGGCGACUAACUCAUGCUCCUCUCUCUCUCUCUCUCUCUCUCGCUUUCCAGGAAUUGCAACUUUGCUCGCUCUCUCGCUCUCGUGCACAAAACCGAAAGAGAUGAGGAGAGAAUGGAGGAGAAAUUCUCAGGAGGGGGGCAGCGGUCUCUCUUAGAGAGGAGAGGAACAGAGACACCUUGCGAAAGAUCAAUCAAUCAAUCAAGAAGGAAUUGUGUGAUCUGUCGGGGGCCCUCAAUCAUGCAGGAGAGAGGAUGAAGCUCGCACACACAAAACCCUCUCUCUUUUAUUUUUUCCUCUCUCGCUCGCCAAGAAAGAAAGAAAGACUCUUUCCUGUGGCCGCCAUAGCUCCUCUAUGAGUCAGUGUGUUAAAAACUUACUAAUUCUUUUUUUUUUUUUUCCUUCUUUUCUUCUUUUGGCUGUGUAAAUUAUUUUUGUCGUACUCCUCGUGGCCCAAAACCAAAUGCGAGUAUUGGCCACCUCUUAACGUGGGGCCCUUCUUUUCCACCACGCCAGUGACGGGGAGGGGUCCGUC
RNAcentral lists this long non-coding RNA (669 nucleotides) under Selaginella moellendorffii. RNAcentral's name for it is "long non-coding RNA (SMOE_LNC002323)". Lineage: Eukaryota; Viridiplantae; Streptophyta; Lycopodiopsida; Selaginellales; Selaginellaceae. The record is from RNAcentral.